UACGUAGGGUGCGAGCGUUUGUCCGGAAUUAUUGGGCGUAAAGAGCUCGUAGGCGGUGUGUCACGUCGGCCGUGAAAACCUGCAGCUUAACUGUGGGCGUGCGGUCGAUACGGGCAUCACUGGAGUUCGGCAGGGGAGACUGGAAUUCCUGGAUGUAGCGGUGAAAUGCGUAGAGAUCGGGGAGGAACACCAGUGGCGAAGGCGGCUCACUGGCCCGAUACGUGACGCUGAGGUGCGAAAGCGUGGGGAGCAAACAGG
RNAcentral lists this ribosomal RNA (258 nucleotides) under uncultured bacterium. RNAcentral's name for it is "partial 16S ribosomal RNA". It matches the Rfam family "Bacterial small subunit ribosomal RNA", at positions 524 to 776 of the family's 1533-position model. The record is from RNAcentral.